Molecule: ribosomal RNA, 253 nt
Filed under: uncultured bacterium
Lineage: Bacteria
Description: partial 16S ribosomal RNA
Rfam family: Bacterial small subunit ribosomal RNA
Source: RNAcentral
UACGUAGGUGGCAAGCGUUGUCCGGAUUUACUGGGCGUAAAGAGCGCGCAGGCGGUCGGAUAAGUCGAAUGUGAAAGCCCCCGGCUCAACUGGGGAGGGUCAUUCGAUACUGUUCGACUCGAAGGCAGGAGAGGGUAGUGGAAUUCCCGGUGUAGUGGUGAAAUGCGUAGAUAUCGGGAGGAACACCAGUGGCGAAGGCGACUACCUGGCCUGUUCUUGACGCUGAGGCGCGAAAGCUAGGGGAGUAAACAGG